AGAUUAAGCCAUGCAUGUCUCAGUACAAGCCGCGUUAAGGUGAAACCGCGAAAGGCUCAUUAAAUCAGUUAUGGUUCCUUAGAUCGUACCCAAUCUUACUUGGAUAACUGUGGUAAUUCUAGAGCUAAUACAUGCAAACAGAGCUCCGACCGGAGACGGAAGGAGUGCUUUUAUUAGAUCAAAACCAAUCGGCGGCGGGUGCGCGCGCUUCCGCGCGCUCUCCCGUCCGCCGCUCGACCUGGUGACUCUGAAUAACUUUCUGCCGAUCGCACGGUCUCGCACCGGCGACGCAUCUUUCAAAUGUCUGCCUUAUCAACUGUCGAUGGUAGGUUCUGCGCCUACCAUGGUCGUAACGGGUAACGGGGAAUCAGGGUUCGAUUCCGGAGAGGGAGCCUGAGAAACGGCUACCACAUCCAAGGAAGGCAGCAGGCGCGCAAAUUACCCACUCCCGGCACGGGGAGGUAGUGACGAAAAAUAACGAUACGGGACUCAUCCGAGGCCCCGUAAUCGGAAUGAGUACACUUUAAAUCCUUUAACGAGGAUCGAUUGGAGGGCAAGUCUGGUGCCAGCAGCCGCGGUAAUUCCAGUUCCAAUAGCGUA
Molecule: ribosomal RNA, 600 nt
Filed under: Hovahydrus sp. IR-2007
Lineage: Eukaryota; Metazoa; Arthropoda; Insecta; Coleoptera; Dytiscidae
Description: SSU rRNA
Rfam family: Eukaryotic small subunit ribosomal RNA
Source: RNAcentral